AAGGCUACUGGAGCUAGGCUUUGCUGGAGAAUGUAUGGAGCUAUGAUCAGGUCAAUAGUAGUGCUUUAUCUCUUUUCUGCUUUUUGUUUUGAUUUUGUUCAAUGCAACUUCAAAAUCAAAUGAAAGAAUGGAAGGGUAGGCUGAGUGGAGAACAGAAGCAUACGCGUUCAGCGGAAGAGGUGAAGAAAGGGCAUAUUGAAGAGACUGUGAGCAGAAAGGAAAGAAAAUCAUAAAGCCCAAAGCCCCUUGAUUAUUUCUGCUGAGGUUUGCCAAGGGCUUGAUAACUAAAGGAAGAUGUUAAAGAAGAGGGAACAACUUUGUCUUGUUCCUGCUUCAGUGUGAAGAGACCCGUCAACACACAAUUCAGCAGACACUUGGCUGUGAGGAAGGGAUCCAGAAAGAGAAGCUACAGUCUGCCUCAGUGUAUCACCUCACUUACACAUCUUUUGCUUCUAAAAUAUCCCACUCAACUUGAUAACGCUUUCACAACAUUCAAAGAGGAAGAUGUAGUUUUCUGCCACCAGACUCGAUAGAAGAGAAAGAAGAACUUUCAUUGGGUUGUCAUGGGGAAUUUCACAGCCAAACCGUCUAAGCAUGGAGCAUAACUCUCUCUGCUGUUAGCCAGGAGCUGCUAGGAAGCAGGGGCUGUACCAGUUGUAUAACAUUUGUUUUUGUUAUGCAAAUAUCAGAAAGAGCAAGUUUAACAACUUUACAUGUGUUUUACCAUGUGUGUAAUGCCGGGCUUCAAUCCAAGAGAAAUUUGUUGGUGGAUCUUGUAAGCAGGAUCAGCUUGAGCAACUCUUUUUUCUUUAAAAGGAGAAAAGCACUUGUACUUCCUAGUCCCAUGCUUGGCCUCACCAUGGGACAGGUAAAGGCGUUGGCUCUAUUGUAUUUCCUGCCAUGGCAAUGUCGCUUCUGUUUCUGAAGUGACUGCAUUUUGUCUGGGAUCCUGCAUGCAGCUUUGGUGCACAGCAUGGGAUCUAAUGAAGAUGUGCUUUGUAUAUGUGCUAUUGCAUAAAAUAACUGGAGACGUUCAUUUCAAAA
RNAcentral lists this long non-coding RNA (1044 nucleotides) under Anas platyrhynchos platyrhynchos (common mallard). RNAcentral describes it as "lncRNA (ENSAPLG00000018597.1)". The record is from RNAcentral. Lineage: Eukaryota; Metazoa; Chordata; Aves; Anseriformes; Anatidae.